GCUCGCACUCGCGCUUUCUGGCACUUUUCUGUGAUUUUCAGUUUGGGGACGCGCACGCAGUAACACGAGCAGGCGUAGGAGUCAGAAAUAAGGAGGAAACCCCAUACAACUUGAUGUCUUGCAUGACUUGCCAUCAUGAGGAGCCAAACAAUGUGGGAUUUGGGUUUCUUAAACAGAUACUGAAAUUGCAUCUAUCAAGCCUGCUGGGUAAACGCCUCUAAAUUACAGCUGGUGUCCUCCUCAAAAGAUGGGUUGGUAUUUAGUUACAGUCAUAAAAAGAAAAGUAACAGAGAGAAGCCCAGGAUUUAGGUGGAAAGAAUAACUGAAAAGGCUCAGAAUGAAUCAUAAGCCAAGAAAGUGAGGAUGGCAGUUGAAUUAUUCUUACCUGCAAUUCAAAUGCCAUCUUGUUGUACCAAAACUUUGUCGACAUAAACACAGAAAGUCAUUGUAUGUUGAAUGUUUCUUUUCCACAGAACAAUACACUACACAGACAGUAUUUAAAAUCAACAAUGGUCUGCUUUCUGCUCCCCCCCUCGAAAACCCUUUUCCCACACUUUCAAGGUAAUAAGAAUCAAAGAGUCUAUUCAAAGUAAGGUCUGCCAUUGCUCUGUAGGCUAAAAGCUAAGAAGUUUUCAAUACAAAGCUGCCUAAUCUUAUAAAAUAAUUCAGCUGCCUCACUGCAGUAGUUUUCUCACCCCAGUUUGAAAUAAUGUACAUUAAAGUGAGAGAAGCGGAGAUACUGUGAACAACAAUAGAAUAGAAGGCCGCCGUGGUUCUCCUAAGUGUUACGUGGGUGAAGAUUCCCGUCAACACAAGUCGCCUGCAUGUCUUACAAUCCUCGUUUUUGCAGAGAAAGCCCCCACAUUCACCCGUGUUCAUGAACGGUUUGCACCCACCACUAGAAUGACAUCACAAGUGUAACAGGCCAAAGGGAGUUUCUUCGGCUCACUUUCUGUGACAGGGUCAGAUGAGUAGCAGUACAAGGGGACGGCUGCUAGGACCUCUGCUUCUCCAGAUCGACAGGGGCCAGCGAAAAUGCUUUGGAGGGCCUGCAGUUCCUUCGAAGGGCGAUUGUACCAGGCCAGCCACCUGAUAAAAGAGCACUGAGGGGACUUUGUCGUUAUUUUAGAAGUAUUCAUUUCCCAAGUUUUAUAGGAUAUUCUGCUCUGCACUGUAUGGUAUAAUGGUAAUACAAAAACAGCAAACAGAAAGUUGAGUUGGGGUUUGAUCGUGUUAGCCUGCCUCUCAUGAGAGCCAGCAGGGAGGACUAUAAAGAGAGGCUGAAUGUUCAGAUGUUCAGCAUCUUGUAGCCCAUACUCUGCAUUGAUCUCCAGUCAGUUCUUUUUACUCUGUUCCUCAGGACACCUCUACUAUGUACAACGUUAUUUACUAAAUAAAAUGUCUUUUUUAAAAAUUGGUUCAGAGCAUCUGUAAAUAUUUCACUGCUUCACUAUUUUAUGUAUGUGGCUCAACCAACGACAUACUAUUGUCCAUUAUUGUUUCCUGGCGUUUGUUCACUUACCAAACCCAUGUUGUAUACUACCGAGUACAAUUACCUGUGCCAGAGACUGAUAACACUUAAAGGAUGAUUUACUGUACAUUUAUUGGAUUUCUACAGGUCAUGGAUAAAAGCCACAGACACAUAUUUCUUCUCUGGUAACAUUUAGGCUAAUAAUGCAUUUCUCUUACUUUUUUCCCUUCAUGACUCCAAGCUGUGCCAGGCUGAGGGUUUAUGGUCUCUGGAAUGAAUUUUAUUUUGGAGUUGUUUGCCCCAGAAGGAAAAAAAAAAAA
Molecule: long non-coding RNA, 1791 nt
Organism: Polypterus senegalus (gray bichir)
Lineage: Eukaryota; Metazoa; Chordata; Cladistia; Polypteriformes; Polypteridae
Exons: 3
Source: RefSeq, a predicted model, not a curated record